CAAAUGCCCAAAGGUCACAGAUCCAAGUGUAAUAUGUGAGGAGAGACUGAAGCAUAAUGAUUUGGUACAACCAGACUCGAAAAAUCUACAACUCCAACGAGAAAAAAACAUUAAAAUAAAUUAUCCAGCAUAGAAUACUUAUUCUUAGCAGCUUAGGGUCAGAAUUUUCAAUUUGAUAACAAACAAGAUAGGGGAAGGGAGUUUUAAAAAAUUACCAGUGGAGUAUUGUAUCCUUUUUUCAUUGUAUAUCAUAAUUGAUGAUCAUGCCUCUUGAUUCAACAUGCCUUUUGGAGUCAGCUCCUGCUGAACUCUUGUCCCCCUUAUACAAGUAAAGUACGUACAUAUUUGGAAUUUAGAAAAAAAGAAAAAUAAAUUGUUUUUUCUGUGAAUGGAGUCCUCAAUUUGUUGUUUGUCUGGAAAGUCGAACUCAUUUCUGGUGAAGGACAUGGUAACCAGAAAGUGAAAUUACAGACAAACACCUGAAAAUAAAUUCCUAGCACCUCUUUAGCGAAACCUGACAAAUCACAGAGUUAAACAAAUCCACAGAAUGGUGAAACCUAAAGUAAUUGAGCUUUUUAAAUCCUCUUUGUGACUGGCUAAAUAGGUAAAAUUUUAAAAGGACUGUCUUUAAAGCAACAUAGUUGAUUUCUAUUAAGCAACAAUACUUUAUUUUUUUUUUCUUCUGUAGGUCUGAUUUAUAGUUCAAGCCCAAGUUUAUGGGCCUAACUGUUACUUGUUCUUUUGAGGGAUGAGGAGUGGAAUUGGUGGGCCUCAGUGGAGGAAAAUAGGUUGAUGUCAUUCACAGCACUCAACCUACUGAAGCUCUAGUCCAAGAACAAAGACUUACGAGGAAGGAGCCAAAGCAGCAUCAAUUUAGAAAGCUUUAAGCAAGAAGGGAACUAUUUCUCAGACUGAGAAUCUCCGGAUUCUAUUCCUGAGUCUUCAAAAGUGGGAAAAACACCCAUCCGGUGGCUGCCCUUUGCCAGAAUUUAUGGUUGGAGCGCUGAAUUCCAGCUGGACUCUCCAUUUGGAACUAACCCGCCACCCUGAAAUUCCCAGGCCUGGUCCGACUCCACACUCCAGCAUUACUGAAAGGAAGCAGAGCGGCCAAGUGGAACGAGUAUUGGACCGGGGAGUACGGAGACCUGGGUUCUAGUCCCAGCUCCACCACUGGCCGGCUGAGAGACCUUGGGUCAGGGCAGACUGCCAGAAUAGCCUUAGCAAUUCCUGUUUGAACCCUGGACCCAAGAAGCUUGGACAGAACUGGACCUGCUUUGGGACAGCAGAGAGGGCCAAACAAUGUUCAACUCACUAUUUCUGGCUCCUUGAUUGGGGAACAUAAAAAAUAGGCUUGUGGUCAUUAAAAAGACAUUUUGGAAAA
Long non-coding RNA from Ornithorhynchus anatinus (platypus), 1381 nucleotides. RefSeq lists it as uncharacterized. Lineage: Eukaryota; Metazoa; Chordata; Mammalia; Monotremata; Ornithorhynchidae. The record is from RefSeq and is a predicted model, not a curated record. The transcript has 3 exons.